AUGCUCAGCCGCGAUGGCUGGGGCUGCCGGCCGCGUCGGAGGUCGCGCCCUGCGGCGGUUUCCCAUCGCCCUGCCUGUGGGCGACGUGAGUAUCUGCGAGGGUAGAAGCCAGACUCCCCCACGUUUAGGUACCUUCCUCGCCCCUACUCCUGGGUAGAGGAAUAACAAUAUUUCUCGAGGCUUCAGCCCAAGGUCUUAGCCUUGUGAUCUAGAAUCCUCCAUCUGUGAGUUGAGCAACUUGCAUCUUAAGGAAGAGAAAAUCAAACCAGAUGCCAAUGGUGCUGUUGUCAAGACCAAUGCCAAUGCAGAGACGACAGAUGAAGAAGAGAAAGAGGACAGAGCUGCCCAGUCCUUACUCAACAAACUGAUCAGAAGCAACCUUGUUGAUAACACAAACCAAGUGGAAGUCCUGCAGCGGGAUCCAAACUCCCCUCUGUACUCGGUGAAGUCUUUUGAAGAGCUUCGGCUGAAACCACAGCUUCUCCAAGG
RNAcentral lists this small RNA (489 nucleotides) under Pongo abelii (Sumatran orangutan). RNAcentral's name for it is "processed transcript". Lineage: Eukaryota; Metazoa; Chordata; Mammalia; Primates; Hominidae. The record is from RNAcentral.